GGUGGCUCAGUGGUAAAGUGCUUGCCUUGCAUGCAUGAGGCCCUGGGUUCGGUUCCCCAGCACCA
Molecule: transfer RNA, 65 nt
Filed under: Dipodomys ordii (Ord's kangaroo rat)
Lineage: Eukaryota; Metazoa; Chordata; Mammalia; Rodentia; Heteromyidae
Rfam family: tRNA
About the family: Transfer RNA (tRNA) molecules are approximately 80 nucleotides in length. Their secondary structure includes four short double-helical elements and three loops (D, anti-codon, and T loops).
Source: Rfam by way of RNAcentral